CCAAUAGCGUAUAUUAAAGUUGUUGCAGUUAAAAAGCUCGUAGUUGAAUUUCGGGAUCAGAUUGUCGGUCGUGCCUCGGUACGCACUGGCAUUAUUGGUUCCUACCUUCUGAAGAACCGCGAUGUCAUUAAUUUGGUGUCGUGGGGAAUCAGGACUGUUACUUUGAAAAAAUUAGAGUGUUUAAAGCAGGCGCACGCUUGAAUACAUUAGCAUGGAAUAAUGAAAUAGGACGUUUGAUUCUAUUUUGUUGGUUUCUAGGAUCGACGUAAUGAUUAAUAGGGAUAGUUGGGGGCAUUAGUAUUCAAUUGUCAGAGGUGAAAUUCUUGGAUUUAUUGAAGACUAACUACUGCGAAAGCAUUUGCCAAGGAUGUUUUCACUAAUCAAGAACGAAAGUUAGGGGAUCGAAGACGAUCAGAUACCGUCGUAGUCUUAACCAUAAACUAUGCCGACUAGGGAUCGGAUGAUGUUAAUUUUUUAAUGACUCAUUCGGCGCCUUACG
This 499-nucleotide ribosomal RNA is filed under the name uncultured Glomeromycotina. RNAcentral describes it as "partial small subunit ribosomal RNA". It matches the Rfam family "Eukaryotic small subunit ribosomal RNA", at positions 591 to 1092 of the family's 1831-position model. The record is from RNAcentral. Lineage: Eukaryota; Fungi; Glomeromycota.